This 496-nucleotide ribosomal RNA is filed under the name uncultured bacterium. RNAcentral's name for it is "SSU rRNA". It matches the Rfam family "Bacterial small subunit ribosomal RNA", at positions 26 to 518 of the family's 1533-position model. The record is from RNAcentral.
AGAUUGAACGCUGGCGGCGUGCUUAACACAUGCAAGUCGAGCGGUAACGCGGGAGCAAUCCUGGCGACGAGCGGCGAACGGGUGAGUAAUGCUUGGGAAUCUGCCCAUUAGUGGGGAACAACCAGCCGAAAGGUUGGCUAAUACCGCAUACGCCCUACGGGGGAAAGCGGGGGAUCGUAAGACCUCGCGCUAAUGGAUGAGCCCAAGUCGGAUUAGCUUGUUGGUAGGGUAACGGCCUACCAAGGCGACGAUCCGUAGCUGGUCUGAGAGGACGACCAGCCACACUGGGACUGAGACACGGCCCAGACUCCUACGGGAGGCAGCAGUGGGGAAUAUUGGACAAUGGGGGCAACCCUGAUCCAGCGACGCCGCGUGUGUGAAGAAGGCCUGCGGGUUGUAAAGCACUUUUAGUGGGGAUGAAAAGCUCAGGGUUAACACCUCUGGGUCUUGACCUAACCCACAGAAAAGCACCGGCUAACUCUGUGCCAGCAGCCGC